GGUUCAUUCAAAUUUCUGCCCUAUCAACUUUCGAUGGUAGGAUAGUGGCCUACCAUGGUUUCAACGGGUAACGGGGAAUUAGGGUUCUAUUCCGGAGAAGGAGCCUGAGAAACGGCUACUACAUCCAAGGAAGGCAGCAGGCGCGCAAAUUACCCAAUCCCGACCGGGGAGGUAGUGACAAUAAAUACUGAUACAGGGCUCUUUUGAGUCUUGUAAUUGGAAUGAGUACAAUUUAAAUCCCUUAACGAGGAACAAUUGGAGGGCAAGUCUGGUGCCAGCAGCCGCGGUAAUUCCAGCUCCAAUAGCGUAUAUUAAAGUUGUUGCAGUUAAAAAGCUCGUAGUUG
Molecule: ribosomal RNA, 344 nt
Filed under: uncultured fungus
Lineage: Eukaryota; Fungi
Description: SSU rRNA
Rfam family: Eukaryotic small subunit ribosomal RNA
Source: RNAcentral